Leucoraja erinaceus (little skate) is the source of this 1970-nucleotide long non-coding RNA. RefSeq lists it as uncharacterized. Lineage: Eukaryota; Metazoa; Chordata; Chondrichthyes; Rajiformes; Rajidae. The record is from RefSeq and is a predicted model, not a curated record. The transcript is spliced from 2 exons.
CACCAUUCCGUGGCUGAUCUGUCUAUCUUUCCUUCCCAACCCCAUCCUCCUGCCUUGUCCCCACAACUCUUGACACCCUGACUAAUCAAAAACCUGUUCAUCUCUGCCUUAAAAAUAUCGACUGACUUGGCCUCCAUAGCUGUCUGGCAAUGAAUUUCAAAAAUUCGCACCCUCUGACAAAAUAAAUUCUUCCUCAUCUCCUUUCUAAAAACACAUCCUUUUAAUCUGAGGCUGUGUCCUAGACUCUCCCACUAGCAGAAACAUUAUCUCCUCAUCCACUCUAUCCAGGCUCUCCACUAUUCGGUAAGUUUAAUAAGAUCCCAUCCCAUUCUUUUGAACUCCAGUGAGUACAGGCCCAGUAUGGUAAAACGUUCAUCAAAAAGUAACCCAAUUAUCCCCUGGACAAUUCCCGUAAACCUCCUCUGGACUCUCUCCAAUGCCAGCACAUAAUUUCUCAGAUAUGUGGCCCAAAUCUGCCCACUCGAAAUGCAGCUCAGUAUUACAACUCAGUAUCUAUCCAUCUAUCUUCUUAAUAUAUAUAUAUAUAUAUUACUAAAAGUCUGUUCUUGACCGGUUUUCACCAUCUGUGCUGCGAUUUCUGAGAGAACGCCGCCACCUAAGGCCCGUCAUUUUUGGCCACCUUGCUCAGAGCCCCCCUCCGCCGCAUGUGUGCUGAGGAUUUUCCCCGUCGAUUAAAAAUGACAGAGAUAUUAAUGUUUUUACAAAAUUCCCCAUUCUCUCUGCUGCCCCCGCUGGUGGCAGAGGGGAGGGACUAUAAAACCAGGAAUAUUGUGCCUCACUUACUCUUCAAGAUGGAGGAAGGCAGAGGGUCACGUUUCUCUGAGCUGUGACUAACACUGAACACAUGUCUACUCAAAUAGCAAUUCCCAAACCAGAUGGUAAUGUUCCCGGACAAGAUGCUUUCCACCGCCGCUGCGAAGAAGCACUGGAGGAUCCUCGGAGACACUCUGAAUUUCCUCAAUUGUCUGAGGUGGUAAAGGCGCUGCCUUGCCUUACUCACGAGUGCUGAGGCGUGUGAUGACCAUGUCAUAUCCUCGGCGAUGUGGACUCCCAGAUAUUUAAAACGGUUCACCCUAUCCACAGGAUCCCCAUUUAUCCUCAAUGGAGUGUACGUCCUCGGAUGAUGUGCCCUCCUAAAGUCCAUGAUCAGCUCCUUUGUUUUUUUGAUGUUCAAGAGGAGGCUGUUAUCCUGGCACCAGAGUGCUAGAUCAGCCACCUCCUCCCAGUAGUCCUUCUCGUCGUUGUCUGAGAUCAGGCCCACCACCACAGUAUCAUCAGCAAACUUAAUUAUUGAGUUGGAGCUGAACCUAGCCACACGGUCAUGUGUGUACAGGGAGUACAAUAGAGGGCUAAGGACGCAACCCUGGGGCGAUCCUGUGCUCAGGGUGAGGGACUUCGAUGUAUUCCCUCCCAUCUUGACUACCUGGGGCCUGGCGGUGAGAAAGUCCAGGACCCAGGCACACAGGGAGGUGUUGAGCCCCAAUUCCAUUAGCUUCCCGGCCAGUCUGGUGGAGACUAUCGUGUUGAAGGCUGAACAGCACAUCAUCGGUGCCCUGCUCCCUGCCAUGGAUGCCCUCCACCGAAAACGGUGUCUGAGACGGGCUGGGAAGAUCAUCAAGGACCCCUCACACCCCAACCAUGGACUGUUUGCCCUCCUCCCAUCAGGGAGGCGGUGCAGGAGCCUCAGGUCACGUACUAGUAGAACGAGGAAAAGCUUCUAUAACAACACAAUCACACUGCUGAACUCGGAGUCCCGACGAUAGAUUUUCUCUGGUCCCUCCGCCCCCUUUGUUUAAUUAUUCUGUAUUUCCUGAUUAUUCUGUAUCUUCCCUCUUUCUAUUUUUUUUUGUUUUUUUCUUUAUGUACAACUACUACGGACUGACGCAAAACUGCAUUUUGUUGUACUGAUACUUGUAUUUGUGCGAUGACAUUAAAGUUCAAUUGAAUUG